CUACAAAGGAAUUGACGGGGCCCGCACAAGCGGUGGAGCAUGUGGUUUAAUUCGACGCAACGCGAAGAACCUUACCAGGGCUUGACAUCCCCUGACCGCGUAUGAAAGUACGUUUUCACCCUCGGGUGACAGGGAGACAGGUGGUGCAUGGUUGUCGUCAGCUCGUGUCGUGAGAUGUUGGGUUAAGUCCCGCAACGAGCGCAACCCCUACGUUUAGUUGCUAACGCGUGAAGGCGAGCACUCUAGACGAACUGCCGUUGACAAAACGGAGGAAGGUGGGGAUGACGUCAAAUCAUCAUGCCCCUUAUGUUCUGGGCUACACACGUGCUACAAUGGCCGGUACAGACGGACGCAAAGCCGCGAGGUGGAGCAAAUCCUAAAAAGCCGGUCUCAGUUCGGAUUGCAGGCUGCAAUUCGCCUGCAUGAAGUCGGAAUCGCUAGUAAUCGCAGGUCAGCAUACUGCGGUGAAUACGUUCCCGGGCCUU
This 485-nucleotide ribosomal RNA is filed under the name uncultured Pelotomaculum sp. RNAcentral describes it as "bacterial SSU rRNA". It matches the Rfam family "Bacterial small subunit ribosomal RNA", at positions 903 to 1382 of the family's 1533-position model. Lineage: Bacteria; Bacillati; Bacillota; Clostridia; Eubacteriales; Desulfotomaculaceae. The record is from RNAcentral.